UGGGGAAUAUUGCACAAUGGAGGGAACUCUGAUGCAGCGACGCUGCGUGAGUGAUGAAGGACUUCGUUUCGUAAAACUCUGUUCUAUGGGAAGAAAAGGACUGUACCAUAGGAGAAAGCUCCGGCUAAAUACGUGCCAGCAGCCGCGGUAAUACGUAUGGAGCGAGCGUUGUCCGGAAUUAUUGGGCGUAAAGGGUGCGCAGGCGGCUUUACAAGUUGGAUGUGAAAUAUUGUGGCUCAACCACAAACGUGCAUCCAAAACUGCAAAGCUUGAGUUAAGGAGAGGGAAGUGGAAUUCCUGGUGAGGCGGUGGAAAGCGUAGAUAUCAGGAGGAAUACCGGUGGCGAAGGCGACUUACUGGACUUAUACUGACGCUCAGGCACGAAAGGGUGGGGAGCAAACAGG
Molecule: ribosomal RNA, 404 nt
Filed under: Fusobacteriota bacterium
Lineage: Bacteria; Fusobacteriati; Fusobacteriota
Description: Fusobacteria bacterium partial 16S ribosomal RNA
Rfam family: Bacterial small subunit ribosomal RNA
Source: RNAcentral